GCAUUCACAUUGUAGGGAUUUUAAAGAAUGUAUUUGUAAAUUAUGGUGGGAAAUACUUGGUCAACCAUUCAAAGCUCUCACUGAUGGAAGGAGGUUUUGGCUCAAAAUCUCAUGCUACAUGGCCCCAUUCAUUCUUUCUUUAACACGGAUCAAUCGUCAUGUCCCCUUAGCAGAAAAACAACCCUAAAGCAUGAUGUUUCCACCCCCAUGUUUCACAGUAGGUAUGGUGUUCUAGGGAUGCAACUUAGUAUUCUUCUUCCUCCAAACACGACGAGUUGGAUUUAUACCAAAGUUAUAUUUUGGUUUCAUCUGACCACAUGACAUUCUCCCAAUUCUUGGUUGUAUCAUCCAUGUGCUCUCUGACAAACUUCAGGCGGGCCUGGACAUGCACUAGUUUAACCAGGGGGACACGUCUGGCACUGCAGGAUUUGAUUCCCCGUCGGCGUAGUGCGUUACUGAUGGUAACCAUUGUUACUUCGGUCCCAGUUCUCUGCAGGUCAUUCACCAGGUCCCCCCGUGUGGUUCUGGGAUUUUUGCUCACCGUUCUCAUGAUCAUUUUGACCCCACGGGAUGAGAUCUUGCGUGGAGCCCAGAUCGAGGGAGAUUAUCAGUGGUCUUAUUCACUCUUCCCAGUCUGGUGCAGAUCUACAAUUAUUUUCCUGGUGUCCUUCGACAGCUCUUUGGCCUAGGCCAUAGUGGAGUUUGGAGUCUGAAUGUUUGAAGCUGUGGACAGGUGUAUUUUAUACAGAUAACGAGUUCAAACAAGUGCCAUUAAUACAGGUAACGAGUGGUGGACAGAAUAGCUUCUUAAAGAAGAAGUUACAGGUCUGUGAGAGCCAGAGAUCUUCCUUGUUCGAAGUGACCAAAUACUUAUUUUACACCAUAAUUUACAAAUAAAUUAUUUAAAAUUC
Long non-coding RNA from Nerophis ophidion (straightnose pipefish), 911 nucleotides. RefSeq lists it as uncharacterized. NCBI's taxonomy places the organism in Eukaryota, Metazoa, Chordata, Actinopteri, Syngnathiformes, Syngnathidae. The record is from RefSeq and is a predicted model, not a curated record. The transcript is spliced from 2 exons.